This is a non-coding RNA of Yokenella regensburgei ATCC 43003, 87 nucleotides long. The record is from Rfam. Lineage: Bacteria; Pseudomonadati; Pseudomonadota; Gammaproteobacteria; Enterobacterales; Enterobacteriaceae.
UUACGUGACGAAGCGCGUGGCAAAGUGGACAAUAAAGCCUGAGCUACGUGACAGUCGCCCAGACGCCGGCCAAGCCGGCGUUUUUUU